This 656-nucleotide long non-coding RNA is filed under the name Physcomitrium patens. RNAcentral describes it as "long non-coding RNA (PPAT_LNC012619)". The record is from RNAcentral. Lineage: Eukaryota; Viridiplantae; Streptophyta; Bryopsida; Funariales; Funariaceae.
UGGAUUAGGAUUUGGGUUAGGUUUUAGGAUUUGGUUAGGGUUUGAUUUAGAAUUUGGAUUAGGGUCUGGAUUAGAAUUUAGGAUUUGAUUAGGGUUUGAUUUAGGAUUUGGAUUAGAAUUUGGUUAGGGUUUGAUUUAAGAUUUGAUUUAGGAUUUAAAGUUGGAUUAGAGUUUGGAUUAGGGUUUAGGGUUUAAUAUAGAGUUUGAUUUAGGGUUUAGGAUUUGAAAUAGGGUUUGAUUUAGGGUUUAAUUUAAGGUUUUUUUAGAAUUUGACUUAGGGUUUAGGAUUUAUUAGGGUUUAAGAUUUAAUUAGGUUUGAGCUAAAGUGUGAAUGAAAUUCAAUAGGGUUUUAACUAGAAUUAAAUUAAGGUUGAAUUGACAUAUAUUUGAGUAAUAUUUGUGAUCAUUCUAAUAUUUCUUUAGGAAUUUUAUUGUUUGUUUGAAAUUUCUUUGAGUUGUUUUGAAUUUGAUUACGUUUUUUUAUCAUUAUUAUAGUCUAAUUAGAGCAUUGUUAAUAUUCUAUUAGAAUUAGGAUUUUGUUAUCGCAAUUUCUAUUCUUCCUUCUACAGCCAGGUGCCCAGAGCAUUCUCAAGCAAGACUUCACACAUUUCGACACCAUUCUCUAUGCCGUUUUGAGAAACGUCCUUUUCAUUGAA